This 253-nucleotide ribosomal RNA is filed under the name uncultured bacterium. RNAcentral's name for it is "partial 16S ribosomal RNA". It matches the Rfam family "Bacterial small subunit ribosomal RNA", at positions 524 to 776 of the family's 1533-position model. The record is from RNAcentral.
GACGAACCGUACAAACGUUAUUCGGAAUUACUGGGCUUAAAGGGUGCGUAGGCGGUGUGGAAAGUUGGGUGUGAAAUACCUCAGCUCAACUGAGGAACUGCAUUCAAAACUUCCAUGCUAGAGGAAGAUAGAGGUAAGCGGAACUUAGGGUGGAGCGGUGAAAUGCGUUGAUAUCCUAAGGAACACCGGUGGCGAAAGCGGCUUACUGGAUCUUUUCUGACGCUGAGGCACGAAAGCUAGGGUAGCGAACGGG